GCGACGGACACCCUCGGGAAACUGAGGCUAAUCCGUCAUACCCCUCUCAUACUGGAAUGUCGAGAGGCCAAAACGCUACGGCGCUGGAGGAUGAGGCUGCGGCCGAUUAGGUAGACGGUGGGGUAACGGCCCACCGUGCCCAUAAUCGGUACGGGUCGUGAGAGCGAGAGCCCGGAGACGGAAUCUGAGACAAGAUUCCGGGCCCUACGGGGCGCAGCAGGCGCGAAACCUUUACACUGCACGCCAGUGCGAUAAGGGGACUCCAAGUGCGAGGGCAUAUCGUCCUCGCUAUCCUGUACUGUAGGGUAGUACAGUAUCAAGAGCUGGGCAAGACCGGUGCCAGCCGCCGCGGUAAUACCGGCAGCUCAAGUGAUGGCCGAUUUUAUUGGGCCUAAAGCGUCCGUAGCUGGCCCUGAAAGUCCGUCGGGAAAUCCACUGGCUCAACCAGUGGGCGUCCGGCGGAAACUCCAGGGCUUGGGACCGGAAGGCUCGAGGGGUACGUCCGGGGUAGGAGUGAAAUCCCGUAAUCCCGAACGGACCACCGAUGGCGAAAGCACCUCGAGAAGACGGCUCCGACAGUGAGGGACGAAAGCUAGGGUCUCGAACCGGAUUAGAUACCCGGGUAGUCCUAGCCGUAAACGAUGUUCGCUAGGUGUGGCACGGGCUACGCGCCUGUGCUGUGC
Molecule: ribosomal RNA, 683 nt
Filed under: uncultured archaeon
Lineage: Archaea
Description: bacterial SSU rRNA
Rfam family: Archaeal small subunit ribosomal RNA
Source: RNAcentral